GAAAAUAUUACUAUUUAAACAGUGCUGAACUACUAUCUACCUCUUUAAUGACGCUUGGACGAUCCUUGGUCGGACUUUACUGGCAUUACCUUGCACUAAACUUUAUUCACUUAUCAUGUACCUAUACACCGAAAAUGGAUCGAUUGUAAUCAUACAUUAUCUUUCUGCUGAUUGGUUAGCACGCAACAAAAGCUUUUCAC
Long non-coding RNA from Amblyraja radiata (thorny skate), 200 nucleotides. RefSeq lists it as uncharacterized. The record is from RefSeq and is a predicted model, not a curated record. The transcript has 3 exons. Lineage: Eukaryota; Metazoa; Chordata; Chondrichthyes; Rajiformes; Rajidae.